GCCAGUGUGGCCUAGUGAUUUGAGUGUUGGGCUAAGACUCUGGAGACCAGGGUUCAAUUCCCAGCUCUCCCA
This 72-nucleotide transfer RNA is filed under the name Phrynosoma platyrhinos (Desert horned lizard). Its description in RNAcentral is "tRNA-OTHER". The record is from RNAcentral. Lineage: Eukaryota; Metazoa; Chordata; Lepidosauria; Squamata; Phrynosomatidae.